Molecule: unclassified non-coding RNA, 5562 nt
Filed under: Haliotis rufescens (red abalone)
Lineage: Eukaryota; Metazoa; Mollusca; Gastropoda; Lepetellida; Haliotidae
Description: diacylglycerol kinase epsilon-like, transcript variant X1
Source: RNAcentral
UCUUCCAAGAUGAGGUAAUAGUCGUUCACGGGAAUAAACAUUUACUGACAUACAUGCUCCGCAGACCAUUCUAGAAAUGCUCCAAGAUCGCAGUCUACUCCCACCGGCCCACGUCAGGUCACAAACUACACGUCAACGUUAGACAGGGCUGUGUGUAACACGCGUACAACAUACACCAGAGAUGUUGUUAUUGUCGGCUGGUACACGUCUCGCGUCGGGACAGCAGCAGAGGUUUCACUAGCGAUGGAUGAUGUGUACAAGGUCAUCGGGGCAAUGUUGGCUAUGCUCUUCUUUUUGGUGUAUCUGUCCCGCUUGUACCGACGAUACAGGCUCAGACACUAUGAAGUGCCGGUCCGAGAUAUUCGUAAGGGGCAUCGGUGGUUCAUGAUGGAUGUCUUCACAGAACCGACAUACUGCAACAUCAGCGGUUACCACAUCAUUCAUGGGGCUAGAUGCGACUCGUGUGGCAUCAGCGUGGACGACCACAACAUGAGAGCGGCAGACAAGAAGUUUAAAUGUAAGCAGGUGUGCAUCAAGGGGGAGGUAAUGCAUCACCAGUGGAUACCAGGUAAUGUCCCCUUGUGCAGCGUCUGUGAUGUGUGUGGUGAAGACUGUGGCAACUCCCCCGAGCUGUGUGAUCAGCGAUGUUGCUGGUGUCAGAGAACUGUCCAUGAUGACUGUUCACCCUCCACUGAUAUCUGUGAUAUGGGGGCCAACUGUAAAGAAAUUGUACCUCCAAACUGCCUUGAACUGAAGUGGGUUGGGCUCAAAGGUCGUAAACAUCUCAUUGUGAAGUCUGUCCGCAAACCUUCCAUUCCAGAAUGGUCUCCCCUGAUUGUGAUAGCCAAUAGGAAGAGUGGGAACAAUGAUGGGGAACACGUCCUGCAAGCAUUCCGUGCAAUACUCAACCCAGCACAGGUGAUAGAUCUCCAUGACAUUCCCCCCGAGAGUGGCCUUGAGUGGUGCCAUCUUCUCCCUCUCACCCCCGUGCGUGUCCUUGUGUGUGGGGGCGAUGGCACCAUCGGCUGGGUGCUCAAGUCUAUAGAGAAACUACAAUUCAAGAAGCCACCGAGAGUGUGUAUACUGCCACUAGGCACGGGGAACGACCUGUCCAGAGUGUUGGGAUGGGGUGAAGGUUACACUGGAGACGUGCAGGUUUCGGAUGUCUUGUCCCACUUGAAGGAGGCCCACCCUGUAGCCCUCGACAGGUGGAAAAUAGAGAUCAGUCAUGAGAAACACUUUGGAAUAUCCGUUCCCAAGCUGAAACGGGUCAUGAUGAUGAACAAUUACGCCUCUAUAGGUGUUGAUGCACUUGUCACCCUCAACUUUCACAAGCGCAGGGAAAGUUGGCCAUGGCUGUUUGCUAACCGGCUCAUCAACAAGUUUGCGUACUUCACAUACGGCACCAAGGACGUCCUGGAGAGGGAGUGCAAGCAGCUCAACAAGAAGAUGAGGGUUGAGUUGGAUGACCGCGUCCUUGAACUACCUGACAUUGAAGGCAUUGUCAUCCUCAACAUCAGCAGCUGGGGCGGCGGCUGUCGUCCGUGGCAACUGGCAUCUGAUGACUUUGACUUCAAACCUGCUUGCUAUGACGAUGGCUUGCUGGAAGUGAUGGCACUGUACUCUUCCUUCCACAUAGCACAGCUCCAGGUCGGGCUGGCAGCGCCGUUUAGACUCGGACAAGCAAGGAAAGUGAAGAUCAGCCUGCAUGGUGGGAAGGCCCCGAUGCAGGUAGACGGAGAACCAUGGGAACAGCUCCCUGCAGACAUCGUCAUCACACACCACAGCCAGGCCGCCGUGAUGGCCAUCAGCUAGAGGCGGCUGGGAGGAUGGGAAGGGAUGGUACAGAGAAGUAUGUGUCACAAGGAAGGAUUGUGACACAUGGAAGAUGAGAAGGAAUGGUUGAGCAGCAGGUGUCAUCAGGGAGUGACAGGGAGACUGCUACUGUCAGAUACCUGAAGGAACUGUAUGGUUGAGGUGGAGUAGGUCUGUAGGUCCAGUAGAGGUGUUCUGGGUUAGGAGUAGUAGGUGUAGUGAUGUAAGUACAUAUGCGUAUAAUGCAAGGGUGCUGGCUACACUCUUGUGAAUCUUGUGAAUUUCAGUUCAUGGCCAAUUUUUUAGUGUACUUUGAGCACCAAGGCGGUACACUUCAGAUUAAGGGGACGAUGAAGAACACUUCAAAUUGAGAGGAGGAUGCAGAACACUUCAGAUUAGAAGGUUGAUGCAGAACACUUCAGAUUGGAAGGCCGAUGCAGAACACUUCAGAUUGGGAGGACAAUGCAGAACACUUAAGAUUAGAAGGUCACUGCAGAACACUUUAGAUUUGGAAGGUUGAUGCAGAACACUUCAGAUUAGAAGGUUGAUGCAGAACACUUCAGAUUAGAAGGUAGAUGCAGAACACUUCAGAUUGGGAGGAUGAUACAGAACACUUCAGACUAGAAGGUCGAUGCAGAACAUUUCAGAUUGGGAGGACAAUGCAGAACACUUCAGACUAGAAGGUCGAUGCAGAACACUUCAGAUUGGGAGGACAAUGCAGAACACUUCAGACUAGAAGGUCGAUGCAGAACACUUCAGAUUGGGAGGACAAUGCAGAACACUUCAGAUUAGAAGGUCAAUGCAGAACACUUCAGAUUGGGAGGACAAUGCAGAACACUUCAGACUAGAAGGUCGAUGCAGAACAUUUCAGAUUGGGAGGACAAUGCAGAACACUUCAGAUUAGAAGGUCAAUGCAGAACACUUCAGAUUGGGAGGACAAUGCAGAACACUUCAGAUUAGAAGGUCGAUGCAGAACACUUCAGAUUGGGAGGACGAUGCAGAACACUUCAGAUUGGAAGGAGGACACAGAACACUUCAGAUUGGAAGGUCGAUGCAGAACACUUCUGAUUGUGAGGAUGAUGCAGAACUCUUCUGAUUGUGAGGAUGAUGCAGAACUCUUCUGAUUGUGAGGAUGUUGCAGAACACUUCAGAUUGGUAGGACAAUGCAGAACACUUUAGAUUAGAAGGUCAAUGCAGAACACUUCAGAUUGGGAGGCCGAUGCAGAACACUUCAGAUUGGAAGGACAAUGCAGAAUGCUUGAGAUUGCGAGGACAAUGCAGAACACUUCAGAUUGGGAGGAUGAUGCAGGACACUUCUGAUUUGAAGGUCUAUGCAGAAUACUUCAAAUUGGGAAGAUGAUGAAGAAAAAAUGUAGAUGGAUAUAUACAGCCCAUGUAUGCUGUAUGCUUGUCUGACAGUAUCCAAAGACUCCUGUGUUAAAGAAAACACACUCAAGCUUUCUUAUCAAUAGAAACACAUAGUACACCUUCCCUGAUGACGCCAUCAGAUCCUGCCUUGGCUGCUCACUACGUGUCAACAGUGUCAGUGUCACAAUAGGUCAUAAUGUCGAACUCAUAACAGCAAAGCAAAGUCAUGAUGAGUCCGGAGCAGGGAAUCUCCUUGAGGUAUCUGUAUUGUACAGAAGCUGUUGGACUGGUAUGUGUAUGCCUGCAGGUGUGAACUAUAUCCAGGUGAUACAGUAUGUAUAGUAUCAGGUACAGUGUUGUACAGUAUGGGACACAGCACUGUACAGUAGUGACUGGUGGGCUAACUAAGCUUUGCUACUAUGUGUAUCUCCUUUUGUGUUGUGUGUAGUGUUGUCGCUCAGAGCACCAGCAUGUCUUACUAUGUGUGGGUCCCACUGAGGUGCUGGUCAUCUAUUCAUCGGGAAACUUUGUCCUGUGUCCAGUGCAAAUAUGUUUGUAAUCAAUGUUGUCACACUAUGUUUUGUUUGAUGACUUGUGACUUGUAGGUUUUUGUUUUGUGACAAGAAUUCAGAAUCUCGCCAGUGUUAAGACUUUCUGUUGACAUCAGUGAAAUUUGUACAGACUUGUUUUUAACAUUUUGGUAGACACAGUAACACAUCCAAGGCCUUUGUUGGCUAGUGUUAGAGGUCUUUUUGAAUUGUGUGAAAGAUCUUAGUCGGCUUGUGUCAAAGAUCUUUGUAAACCAAAUAUUAGUAGACCUCUGUCUGAGAUCACUUUUUUCCUCAUCGAAGACCUUACUUCAUGGUCCAGCCAAAUUGUGAAAAAAAGAAGCAACUCUAUGCGACUGCUUGCAGUCAUGCAGUUACUUGUUUUCUAAACCAUCUUAAAUAUUAUAUCUUUUUUAUCCUUUUUAUUUAUUAUCACAUUUUUAUAUAAUAUCGUUUUCUAUAGUUUUUAUAAGAAGUUAUGUAGUUUUCUUUCCUUUUCAUUUAUACCUCCUGGUUUGUCCAUGUAGUGAAUAAUGAUCCUGCAUAAUGCAACACCUUGGUAAAGUGGACACUUUAUUACAAGAUGGAGAGUUGAAGCAUGUUUUUGUGCUAUUCUGUUUCAUCCUACUAUGGAUAUUAUGCUUUUGUGAGAUUGUGCCAACAUUUUAUUAUUUUGAAUUAUACACUGUUUACAGAUAUGUUUUUUUAUUUAUUCCUGGGUUGAACUUAAUUUGCAUAAAUAUUGUUUUAUCUGAUGAUUAGUAGAAGCAUUAAGCAGCUUUGGAAGCUGGCAGUGAACUAGAGUUCAGAUUGUUACCAUGGUGACAGUUCAGAUACUUAGGUCAUUGGUUCAGUUCACUUAUAUAGCAUUAUUCAGUGCAAUGUCAUUCUAUUUGAAGUAUAGAAGUAAGCUAUAGUCAUGAUGUGAGGUCGCUGUUGUCAUUGGAAAAGCAAUACUUGGUGUGUAGCUAUUUUGAGUCAGAUUUUGCAACAAUGUUACAAAUGUUUUUAUAUUUUAAAUUCAAGCUGAAUGUGACUGAUAAUUGAGUAUGUAACAUUUUCUUUUCUUAUGAAAUAUAUAUAGAACAUAGUGAAAGGGUUCCUGUUUGCAAACAUAUUAUUGUUGAUGUAAUUCAAAGAGACAGUCUAUCUCUAAGAUACUUCUGUACCAAUUGGGACGCUACUCCCAAUGUUAAAUCCAACAUGUACAUUCAGGCCUUGUUGCAUAUGCUCAUGUUGAUUUGGGAAACAGGUAGUUGGAUUCAUUAAUAAAUGCAGUUGGAAUACGCUUUACUCCAAGUAAUUGUCAUGUUGCAAGCUGAUCACAGACAUGAUUUUUGUUAGGUACGAAAUUGUCCGCUGGUGUUUGCCCAGUAUGAAAAGUACUUGGAUGACCACUGCAUCCUGACAACACUGAUCAAUGCUCACAACAUCGACCAUUGGUUUUCCUGGUUUACACACUCAGCAGGUUGCCAGGAUACAGCUGUCAUAUUUGCUGGAACAUAAAGACAUCCAUCUCCAGCGGAGAUAUAGUUGGAAUAAUCUCACAUGUCUAUAUAUCUGGACCAAUGUUAUAUGUCUCGCAUGUGCAAUAUUGUAUAGAAAUAUACAGCAUUUUGUUACAUAAUGUUUUGUGAAUAGACGUUGUAAUGCAGGAUAAGUAUUUAAAUUUUAAAAAUAUCUACAUUUUACUGGGGUUCUAUUGUACAUUAUUUUGUAUUUAUUGAUAUGUUGUUUUUUGACUUGAUAUUGAUAAGCCCUGGUUGAUACCUCAGGUACAUAUUGUACCAUGUGCUCUGGAACCAAAUACUGGGAACCAAUACUGAACCCA